Molecule: ribosomal RNA, 253 nt
Filed under: uncultured bacterium
Lineage: Bacteria
Description: partial 16S ribosomal RNA
Rfam family: Bacterial small subunit ribosomal RNA
Source: RNAcentral
UACGUAGGGGGCAAGCGUUGUCCGGAAUCAUUGGGCGUAAAGCGCGUGUAGGCGGCUUGGUAAGUCCGCUCUGAAAGCCCGGGGCUCAACCCCGGGAGGCGGGUGGAUACUGUCAAGCUCGAGUCCGGAAGAGGCGAGUGGAAUUCCUGGUGUAGCGGUGAAAUGCGCAGAUAUCAGGAGGAACACCAAUGGCGAAGGCAGCUCGCUGGGACGUGACCGACGCUGAGACGCGAAAGCGUGGGGAGCAAACAGG